RNAcentral lists this ribosomal RNA (235 nucleotides) under Aspergillus niger. RNAcentral describes it as "partial large subunit ribosomal RNA". It matches the Rfam family "Eukaryotic large subunit ribosomal RNA", at positions 325 to 570 of the family's 3401-position model. Lineage: Eukaryota; Fungi; Ascomycota; Eurotiomycetes; Eurotiales; Aspergillaceae. The record is from RNAcentral.
UCCCAGACGAUAGCGAACAAGUAGAGUGAUCGAAAGAUGAAAAGCACUUUGAAAAGAGAGUUAAACAGCACGUGAAAUUGUUGAAAGGGAAGCGCUUGCGACCAGACUCGCCCGCGGGGUUCAGCCGGCAUUCGUGCCGGUGUACUUCCCCGUGGGCGGGCCAGCGUCGGUUUGGGCGGCCGGUCAAAGGCCCCUGGAAUGUAGUACCCUCCGGGGUACCUUAUAGCCAGGGGUG